RNAcentral lists this ribosomal RNA (443 nucleotides) under uncultured bacterium. RNAcentral describes it as "partial 16S ribosomal RNA". It matches the Rfam family "Bacterial small subunit ribosomal RNA", at positions 338 to 795 of the family's 1533-position model. The record is from RNAcentral.
CCUACGGGUGGCUGCAGUGGGGAAUAUUGGACAAUGGGGGGAACCCUGAUCCAGCGACGCCGCGUGAGUGAAGAAGUACUUCGGUAUGUAAAGCGCUAUCAGCAGGGAAGAAAGAAAUGACGGUACCUGACUAAGAAGCCCUGGCUAAAUACGUGCCAGCAGCCGCGGCAAUACGUAGGGGGCAAGCGUUAUCCGGAUUUACUGGGUGUAACGGGAGCGUAGACGGCGAUGCAAGUCUGAAGUGAAAGGCGGGGGCCCAACCCCAGGACUGCUUUGGAAACUGUAUGGCUGGAGUGCAGGGGAGGUAAGUGGAAUUCGUGGUGUAGCGGUGAAAUGCGUAGAUAUUAGGAAGAACACCGAUGGCGAAGGCAGCUUACUGGACUGUAACUGACGUUGAGGCUCGAAAGCGUGGGGAGCAAACAGGAUUAGAUACCCGAGUAGUC